RNAcentral lists this ribosomal RNA (414 nucleotides) under Pseudo-nitzschia fraudulenta. RNAcentral describes it as "partial Bacterial small subunit ribosomal RNA". It matches the Rfam family "Bacterial small subunit ribosomal RNA", at positions 941 to 1354 of the family's 1533-position model. The record is from RNAcentral. Lineage: Eukaryota; Bacillariophyta; Bacillariophyceae; Bacillariales; Bacillariaceae.
GUGGUUUAAUUCGAAGCAACGCGCAGAACCUUACCAACCCUUGACAUCCUGUGCCACACGGAGAGAUCCGUGGUUCCCUUCGGGGACGCAGUGACAGGUGCUGCAUGGCUGUCGUCAGCUCGUGUCGUGAGAUGUCGGGUUAAGUCCCUUAACGAGCGCAACCCCUAUCGUUAGUUACUAACGCGUUAUGGCGAGGACUCUAGCGAGACUGCCGGUGUCAAACCGGAGGAAGGUGGGGAUGACGUCAAGUCCUCAUGGCCUUUAUGACUAGGGCUGCACACGUCCUACAAUGCAACAUACAAAGGGAAGCAAAAUCGCGAGAUCUAGCAAAUCCCAAAAAGUGUUGCUCAGUUCGGAUUGCAGGCUGCAACUCGCCUGCAUGAAGCCGGAAUCGCUAGUAAUCGCGGGUCAGCA